Molecule: ribosomal RNA, 384 nt
Filed under: uncultured bacterium
Lineage: Bacteria
Description: bacterial SSU rRNA
Rfam family: Bacterial small subunit ribosomal RNA
Source: RNAcentral
AUUGAACGCUGGCGGCAUGCCUUACACAUGCAAGUCGAACGGCAGCACGGGGCAACCUGGUGGCGAGUGGCGAACGGGUGAGUAAUGCAUCGGAACGUGCCAUUGAGUAGGGGAUAACGUAGCGAAAGUUGCGCUAAUACCGCAUAUUCUGUGAGCAGGAAAGCAGGGGACCGCAAGGCCUUGCGCUCUUUGAGCGGCCGAUGUCAGAUUAGCUAGUUGGUGAGGUAACGGCUUACCAAGGCGACGAUCUGUAGCGGGUCUGAGAGGAUGAUCCGCCACACUGGAACUGAGACACGGUCCAGACUCCUACGGGAGGCAGCAGUGGGGAAUUUUGGACAAUGGGCGCAAGCCUGAUCCAGCCAUGCCGCGUGAGUGAAGAAGGCC